CUUGCUGUCCGCAGAAAAGAAAGCAACAGUACUCAGCAGAAACAGUCUCUAAAAUUAACUGUAGGAGACGUGAUCUGUACAGGCAGUUAUCAAUUGAUAAAAGAGAUUUGCUUUUACCACAACGAUGAUUAAAAAAGCUUGAAUUAAAUAAGGGUCAAAACGCGCUGCUUGAAUAUACCAAACAAACUGCUGGGUUUGAGUUACCUACACAAAAAACUCUGACGAUGGCUGACCCACCAUGUGCUAAUGGGACAGCCGGUGUAUCUUCGGUUACGGAGGCAGUAGCUGAUUGUAACAAAGGAAAAAAUAUUACUGACCACUUCUCCGUUUCCGAACAUGCUUCGACCUCUGGUGUACCCUGUGAACAGCAUCAUGCAAAUACAUCUACUGUCAUAAAUAAAG
Long non-coding RNA from Nicotiana attenuata, 402 nucleotides. RefSeq lists it as uncharacterized. Lineage: Eukaryota; Viridiplantae; Streptophyta; Magnoliopsida; Solanales; Solanaceae. The transcript is spliced from 3 exons. The record is from RefSeq and is a predicted model, not a curated record.